This 465-nucleotide ribosomal RNA is filed under the name uncultured bacterium. RNAcentral's name for it is "partial 16S ribosomal RNA". It matches the Rfam family "Bacterial small subunit ribosomal RNA", at positions 28 to 507 of the family's 1533-position model. The record is from RNAcentral.
GACGAACGCUGGCGGCGUGCUUAACACAUGCAAGUCGAACGGAAAGGCCCUGCUUGCAGGGUACUCGAGUGGCGAACGGGUGAGUAACACGUGGGUGAUCUGCCCUGCACUUCGGGAUAAGCCUGGGCAACUGGGUCUAAUACCGGAUAGGAGCCAUUUUUAGUGUGAUGGUUGGAAAGUUUUUUCGGUGUAGGAUGAGCUCGCGGCCUAUCAGCUUGUUGGUGGGGUAAUGGCCUACCAAGGCGGCGACGGGUAGCCGGCCUGCGAGGGUGGACGGCCACAUUGGGACUGAGGUACGGCCCAGACUCCUACGGGAGGCAGCAGUGGGGAAGAUUGCACAAUGGGCGCAAGCCUGAUGCAGCGACGCCGCGUGGGGGAUGACGGCCUUCGGGUUGUAAACUCCUUUCGCUAGGGACGAAGCUUUUUGUGACGGUACCUAGAUAAGAAGCACCGGCUAACUACGUG